This 850-nucleotide ribosomal RNA is filed under the name uncultured bacterium. RNAcentral's name for it is "bacterial SSU rRNA". It matches the Rfam family "Bacterial small subunit ribosomal RNA", at positions 52 to 885 of the family's 1533-position model. The record is from RNAcentral.
UAUCUGCAGUCGAGCGGACAGAAGGGAGCUUGCUCCCGGAUGUUAGCGGCGGACGGGUGAGUAACACGUGGGUAACCUGCCUGUAAGACUGGGAUAACUCCGGGAAACCGGAGCUAAUACCGGAUAGUUCCUUGAACCGCAUGGUUCAAGGAUGAAAGACGGUUUCGGCUGUCACUUACAGAUGGACCCGCGGCGCAUUAGCUAGUUGGUGAGGUAACGGCUCACCAAGGCGACGAUGCGUAGCCGACCUGAGAGGGUGAUCGGCCACACUGGGACUGAGACACGGCCCAGACUCCUACGGGAGGCAGCAGUAGGGAAUCUUCCGCAAUGGACGAAAGUCUGACGGAGCAACGCCGCGUGAGUGAUGAAGGUUUUCGGAUCGUAAAGCUCUGUUGUUAGGGAAGAACAAGUGCAAGAGUAACUGCUUGCACCUUGACGGUACCUAACCAGAAAGCCACGGCUAACUACGUGCCAGCAGUCGCGGUAAUACGUAGGUGGCAAGCGUUGUCCGGAAUUAUUGGGCGUAAAGGGCUCGCAGGCGGUUUCUUAAGUCUGAUGUGAAAGCCCCCGGCUCAACCGGGGAGGGUCAUUGGAAACUGGGAAACUUGAGUGCAGAAGAGGAGAGUGGAAUUCCACGUGUAGCGGUGAAAUGCGUAGAGAUGUGGAGGAACACCAGUGGCGAAGGCGACUCUCUGGUCUGUAACUGACGCUGAGGAGCGAAAGCGUGGGGAGCGAACAGGAUUAGAUACCCUGGUAGUCCACGCCGUAAACGAUGAGUGCUAAGUGUUAGGGGGUUUCCGCCCCUUAGUGCUGCAGCUAACGCAUUAAGCACUCCGCCUGGGGAGUACGG